Molecule: ribosomal RNA, 903 nt
Filed under: Halobacterium sp.
Lineage: Archaea; Methanobacteriati; Methanobacteriota; Halobacteria; Halobacteriales; Halobacteriaceae
Description: bacterial SSU rRNA
Rfam family: Archaeal small subunit ribosomal RNA
Source: RNAcentral
UGCUAGUUGUGCGGGUUUAGACCCGCAGCGGAAAGCUCAGUAACACGUGGCCAAACUACCCUGUGGAUGGGAACAAUCUCGGGAAACUGAGGCUAAUUCCCAAUAACGCUCCACCCCUGGAACGGGCGGAGCUGGAAACGCUACGGCGCCACAGGAUGUGGCUGCGGUCGAUUAGGUAGACGGUGGGGUAACGGCCCACCGUGCCAAUAAUCGGUACGGGUUGUGAGAGCAAGAGCCCGGAGACGGAAUCUGAGACAAGAUUCCGGGCCCUACGGGGCGCAGCAGGCGCGAAACCUUUACACUGUACGCAAGUGCGAUAAGGGGACUCCGAGUGUGAAGGCAUAGAGCCUUCACUUUUGUACACCGUAAGGUGGUGUACGAAUAAGGGCUGGGCAAGACCGGUGCCAGCCGCCGCGGUAAUACCGGCAGCCCGAGUGAUGGCCGAUAUUAUUGGGCCUAAAGCGUCCGUAGCUGGCCGGACAAGUCCGUUGGGAAAUCUGUUCGCUUAACGAGCAGGCGUCCAGCGGAAACUGUUCGGCUUGGGACCGGAAGACCUGAGGGGUACGUCCGGGGUAGGAGUGAAAUCCUGUAAUCCUGGACGGACCACCGGUGGCGAAAGCGCCUCAGGAGGACGGAUCCGACAGUGAGGGACGAAAGCUAGGGUCUCGAACCGGAUUAGAUACCCGGGUAGUCCUAGCUGUAAACGAUGCCCGCUAGGUGUGGCGCAGGCUACGAGCCUGCGCUGUGCCGUAGGGAAGCCGAGAAGCGGGCCGCCUGGGAAGUACGUCUGCAAGGAUGAAACUUAAAGGAAUUGGCGGGGGAGCACUACAACCGGAGGAGCCUGCGGUUUAAUUGGACUCAACGCCGGACAUCUCACCAGCUCCGACAGUAGUAAUGACGGUC